Molecule: long non-coding RNA, 840 nt
Organism: Oncorhynchus nerka (sockeye salmon)
Lineage: Eukaryota; Metazoa; Chordata; Actinopteri; Salmoniformes; Salmonidae
Exons: 3
Source: RefSeq, a predicted model, not a curated record
CUUUUCCACAUCAUCAGAAGAAGGAGGGGCAUCUAUUAUGUCAACAGUUACUUUGGGACCGUGCGAAAAUGACGGUAUAUAGGCCUAUAUCAAAAACAGUUACUUUUGCCCUACAGUGUGUAGUAAAAUAUCGCAGUCUUUUAUUGUUUUUCUUUUUAGGAGUGGUUGGUAGGCUAUAUAAUUGUACAGCUUAUGCUCUAUCCACGACAAUCGUCCCGUUAUCUAAUGAUUCCGGGCGCACGAACUGUGGAGCCCUUGGGUGAGGCUUCUAAAGUUUUUAUAGACUGAACUUCUAGAUCAGCGCCAAGUCAUCCACCAUAAAGACGAGAUUCUUUAGGCUGGACCAGAUCCAGACGAGGGGCAUGCCUUUGCCGUGCUAGUGCUGCAGUCUGUGAUGACUCCAUCGGUGGUGUCUGGCUCUUCCGUGGGCAGCAGAUGGCUUGAAGGACCAGUGGCUGGAGGAUCUGCAAGCAAGUGAUGGCAGAUGGAAACACCAUCAAAGCGAGAGAUGGCAUGGCACUGCAGAGGACCCGACACCAAAGCCCUGGUCUAUUGACCAAUCCUUUCUAACACGAUGACCAGCUCAAUCCAUUAUUGAGAUGAGUAGCUCAGCUAUUAAAAGUCAAAACACUAACAAUGAAUCCAGUUCAUAGCAGUGAAAAUGUUUACAUUAGUCGCCAUAAACAGAUUGUUUUUGAUCCGUUCUGGAAGGUACAAUAUUAGUCAUGAUUAUGGAAGUGCCAAAAGGUGAGUGCUAUCAGGACUAUGUAUGACCCUUGGAUUUGCUGCCAGGUUUAUAAUACACUGAUGUGGGAAAUAAAGUACUGUUUUGACCCUGAA